GACGAACGCUGGCGGCGUGCUUAACACAUGCAAGUCGAACGGAAAGGCCCUUCUUUUGUGUGGUGCUCGAGUGUCGAACGGGUGAUUAACACGUGAGUAACCUGCCCUUGACUUUGGGAUAACUUCAGGAAACUUGGUCUAAUACCUGAUCGGAGCUCCUGCUGCAUGGUGGGGGUUGGAAAGUUUCGGCGGUUGGGGUUGGACUCGCGGCUUAUCAGCUUGUUGGUGGGGUAGUGGCUUACCAAGGCUUUGACGGGUAGCCGGCCUGAGAGGGUGACCGGCCACAUGGGGACUGAGAGACGGCCCAGAGUCCUACGGGAGGCAGCAGGGGGGAAUAUUGCACAAUGGGCGGAAGCCUGAGGCAGAAACGCCGCGUGCGGGAUGACGGCCUGCGAGUUGUAAACCGCUGUCGCCUGUGACGAAGCGUGAGUGACGGUAAUGGGUAAAGAAGCACCGGCUAACUACGUG
Molecule: ribosomal RNA, 468 nt
Filed under: uncultured bacterium
Lineage: Bacteria
Description: partial 16S ribosomal RNA
Rfam family: Bacterial small subunit ribosomal RNA
Source: RNAcentral